ACCCCCGGGUCGGUGCCGCAGCGGCAGCGAAGUCCGGUGCAAUCCCGGCGCUGUCCCGCAACUGUGAUGGUCACCUCGGGUGGCCUGAGCCAGAUCGCCUGCCCUUCGGCAUGUCACCGACCCUCGCGGUAAGGGUCGCGU
RNAcentral lists this small RNA (141 nucleotides) under Blastococcus sp. Lineage: Bacteria; Bacillati; Actinomycetota; Actinomycetes; Geodermatophilales; Geodermatophilaceae. The record is from RNAcentral. RNAcentral also lists the same sequence under 1 other name.